AUUCAACGCUUUUCAAAUAAUCUGAUACAUACCUACGCAGGCGCAAACAAUCUCAUCGUUAUUAAUCCAAUGAAACAAUUGUCGAUUUACAGCGAGAAAGUUGUCGCGCUUUUCAAAGGCUGCAAGAUUGAAGAUAUGCCACCGCAUAUUUACUCCAUGGCGCAGUCUGCGUAUCACCAAAUGCUGCAGACACGUAAAGAUCAGUCGAUUGUCUUUACAGGCCGCAGUGGCGCUGGUAAAACGACGAAUUUCCGCCAUUGCGUGCAUUAUUUAGUCACGUGCUCAGGCGCAACGAAUAAAAUCCUUACUUUGGAGAAACUCAACGCCAUCUGGAAUAUUCUAGAGAGUUUUGGUAAUUGUAAAACUAUCAAUAACACCAACGCCACGCGUUUUACACAAAUCUUCAGCCUGGAUUUCGACCAGAGCGGGUUGGUUGCAUCCGCGAGUAUGCAACUUCUGAUGCUCGAACGCUCGCGUAUAUGUAAGAAACAAGAUGGCGAGACCACGUUCCAUAUCGUGCAGAGGUUGCUCUGGGGAGUCGAAGGUAAACUCAAAAAAGAUUUAUUCCUGGAUAGUUUAACCGGAAACGAGUCAAACGCGUUGUAUAAUCAUCUGACGAAGAUUGAAGACCGACAACGUGCACAGAUUGAGUUCGGUAAGGUGCAGCAUGCGUUCACGGUGUUGGCAGCGACAUCUGGUGAUGUGCGAGCGAUAUGGAGUGUCAUUGCGAGUAUUUAUCAUCUGGGAUGCGCGGGCAGUACCAAGAUUGGGUCGAGUAGUAAAUAUCAGUUUGGGAAUCCGGUGUGUGCGAAGAGAGCGGCGGAUUUAUUGGGUGUUACUGUGGAGGAGUUGGGGAGGAGUAUUUUUCAAGCGUGUGGCGGUGGAUCGACGAAUACGUUGACGCCGAAUAGUGCUAAUGGCGGACGGGGAGCGUAUCGCACGCCAUCGCCGACGGAUCGGAAUAAUUUGGAGGUUACUGGGUAUGAUGCACUGGAAGGGUUUAUCAUCGGGUUGUAUUCGGAGGUGUUUAAUAGUGUUGCUGCUAUUAUUAACAAAUCAAUUUCAACGAAUUCCCACACUGUAUCAUCAAUACUCUUAGUCGACACACCUGGUUUCCAAAACCCAGCAACCUGUGGCCGUCAAGCAGGCGCUGGCUUCGACGAUUUAUGCCACAAUUACCUCCAAGAGCGCCUGCAACUCCUCGCACACCAUACCAAUCUAGUCCUACCGAAAGACCGCUACCUCCAAGAGAACAUCGACGUUGAAACUGAAGAUUUCGCGAUAAAUCCAACACCGCUGGUUAAUUUAUUGGAUAAAACCGCGCAGAAUACAGUGGUGAAGACAUCACAGACUGAUUUGCACGAGGCGGAUAGAAGGGGUUUGUUGUGGUUGUUGGAUGAGGAGGCGAUUUAUCCGGGCGCGUCGGAUGAGUCGUUUUUGGAGCGGUUAUUCACGCAUUUUGGCGAUAGGGAUCAUCAGUUGUUGUUGAGGAAGGCGCCCGGGCAGAAUCAGUUUGUGCUGCAGCAUUUACAGGGCACGAAUCCGGUGUUGUAUAGUGCGACUGGAUGGUUGAAGCAGAGCAGGGAGAAUCCUGUGAGUAGGAACGCUGUGGGGAUCUUACAGGAGAGUUGCACUGAAGAAGUAAGCAAACUCUUCGUAACAGCCCGUGGCCUAGGCGGUUCGACAUUCAGCGGUUCUCUUGUGGGCAUAGAAGGCUCCCAAUCACUGCGAAGGGCUUCCAGCAUCCGCCGAACGUUCACCGCCGGUACAGCGGCUAUCAAACGCAAGUCAAUAUGCUUACAGACGAAGUUUAUCAUCGAUGGCCUUGUGGAGACAAUCAGACGCACCAAACUGCGAUUCAUACACUGUGUGCUGCCACAGCAUAAUGCCGGACAGUGUGACGCCACCGGCGCUGUGAUGGCGAUCAAGGGCGGUGUAAAUGGCGGCGGGGGGAUUGAAGAGGGGUUGUUGAAUGUCCCACUGCUAAGAUCACAGAUAAGAGGCGGUCAGAUUUUGGACACAAUCAGACUGCACAAGCAAGGUUUCCCUAUGUUUAUGCCUCUGGGUGAAUUCCGACGUCGUUUCCGGCUGUUAUCGGGUGAUAAUGCGUCGAAAACCGGGCAUGUGCAGGUCUUGGACGAGCGGAAAGCGGUUGAAGAUAUGUUGAUGACGAUGGACUUGGACAGUUCCGGUUAUCGCGUCGGUAUGAGUCUGAUAUUCUUCAGAGGUGGUGUUCUCUCCGAGUUGGAACACCAGCGUGAUGAGCGCAUGGCCGGUAUGGUUGUCAGUCUACAAGCGCAUUGUCGUGGUUACCUCGCCCGGAAACGCUUGGCGAAGCGGAAGUUGGAAGACUUGGCCGUUAGAUGUCUGCAGAGGAAUGUGCGGAAGUUUUUGAGCGUGCGUGAUUGGCCAUGGUGGCGCCUCCUGGUGAGGGUUACGCCGCUGUUGAAUGUGCAUCGCACGGAGGAGGAGCUUAAGUUGAAGUCGGAAGAGCUGGAGGUGCUCAAGGCCAAGCUGGAGAAGAUCGAGGCGGAGCGGCAACAUCUCAAGCAUGAGAAUGACAAGUUGGAAUCAAAGUUGAGUGAGAUGACUGUGGAUCUUGCCGAGGAGCACUCAACGGCUACGUUGGCUACAGAGAGAUUGGAUGCUGAGACGGCUGAGAGGGUGCGUGUGGAGAGGGAGAUGUCGGAGACGGCGCAUAAGAAUAAGGAGCUGACGCAGCAGACGGAGCGGUUGGAGAUGGAGUUGUUGUAUGCGCGCUCGGAUUUGAAUGGUAUUGAUGAGGAGGAUGAGGAUGCGGAGGGUGAUGGGAUUUAUAGGCAGAGGUAUGAAAGGACUGUGAGGGAGUUGGAGUUUACGAAGAGGCGGCUGCAGCAACAGCAUGAGGAUGACUUGGAGCAGUUGGUGGGGUUGAAGAAACAAUUGGAGAAGAAGUUAACUGAUGCAUACGAAGAAGUUGAAGAACAACGCCAAGUCGUCGGUCAAUGGAAGCGUAAAGUCCAAAAACUCAACGGCGAAAUGUCCGACCUCAAACACCUCCUCGAAGAACAAAACGGCCGCAAUAAUCUCCUCGAGAAAAAGCAACGUAAAUUUGAUUCAGAAUCCCAAUUAUUACACGAUGAACUCCGGCAGGAAAAACAAGCAAAAGACCGCUUGGGGCGCGAAAAAGAACUCCUCUCAGCCGAGAAGUUCUCCAUUGAGAGUCAACUACAAGACGUCAAAAUGGAACUGGAAAUGAAAGAGGAAAAGUGCACAGCAUUACAACGAGAAUUAGACGAAUUAACCUACGGUGGCAAAACUGAAGAAGAAGUCGCCCUGCUACGCAAACAGAAAAUGGAGUGUGAACGACGUCUGCAUGAUCAAGAAGAGGAAUUGGAUGAACAAGCAGGACAAGUACAAUUAUUAGAACAAGCUAAACUUAAGCUGGAGAUGUCUCUGGAACAAAUGAGGAAGCAGAGUAAGAAGGAAGCAGCCACACAUGAUGAGGAAUUGGAAGAAGUUCGUUGUUCAGCUCAAAAGAAGGUUAAAGCAUUAGAAGCUCAAUUAGAAAACGAACACGAAGAGCGCACGAGUCUGAUGCGUGAGAAACACGAACUUGAACGCCGAUUGGUCGCCGCGAUGGAAUCCACCAAUGAGAAAGCAUGUGAUGAGGCGUUAGUCCUACGUCUUAAACGUGACUUAAAACGCACGAAAGUGCUACUCCGCGAUACACAAUCACAACUGGAGCGUCAAAAGAAUGAAAACCCUGGCAAGAAUAUCAUUCGUCAACUGCGUAAUCAAAUCGAUGAUUUGGAAUGUGCGAGAUCCUUAGCAACCAAAGCUAAAUCCACCCUGGAAGCGGAACUCACCGAAACACAAAAUCUACUCGACGAUGCCUCAAAAUCCAAGUCAGAAACUGAAGAGAAACUCAACUCUCAGAUGCGUGAGAGGAAUGAUUUACAAAUGCAGUUGGAAGAAAACGAAGAGGAAUUAGCUGAGGUGUUGAAGAAGUAUAAAGCUUGUGUACAGCAAAUGUCGUUGGAUCAAUUGGCGCUGCAGGAACAAGUCAGUCUGGUUGCGGAGUUGGAGGUUGAGCGUAAUGGGUUGAAGGAACAGCUGGCUGAGAUGACGAGCAAGUUGGAGAGCGUGGAGAGUUUGGGUGAUGCCAGUUCGCAUAUUUUGGUCAAGCGAGCAGAGUUGAAGGUGAAAGAGUUGGAGAGUAAGCUGGAGCUGGAGCAGACGACGAAGCAGAGGCAGGAGGUGCAAGUUGUAAGGUUGAAGGAGGCGGUGGAUAAGUUGCAGUCGGAGGUGGCUACGGCCAGGGCCAAGGAGCAGUCUGCACAGGAUCAGAUUAGGAAGUUACAGAGGAGUGUCAGAGAACUAAGAGACGAACACAACCUAGCGUUAAGUCGUGAAGGCGAAGCGUUACUAAAACGCAAAGAACUUGAAAAACGCUGCGAAACACUCGAAGGUGAAGCCGCCACGGCCAGAACUGACCUGCGACUGGCACUAAAACGCAUCGAAGACCUCCAAUCGGCGAUUCAGGGUGAACUUGACGAUGAUAGCAUUGAUAAUUCAGACAGUUAUUCAUCCGACGAUUCCGUGAAUACUUUCCUGGCGAAUCACAACAGCACAUCACCAUCGCUCCUCUCAUCCGUGAGUGGCAUCGGCGGUGGUUCCACAUCCACCUCAUCCACACGCAAACUAUCUGGCGGGGGCGGCAAGGAUGGAUACGCAUGAGUGGCGGCGACGAUCUGCAGGACCAUCUCGCUGACGUUCUGCAGAAGCGACUCGCUCGACGACGACAUGAACUACCCAGAAGAGAAGGUGUAACUCUAGUAAACUAAACUAAAAACAAAAGACAAGCAUGCAAACCAACAACCGACUUUUUCGUUUUUAUUUUUGUUGUUGUUUGAUGGAAUAUAAUUAAUACUUUGUGAUAUCACUUACCAAUUAUCAGUAGAACACAAAAUGGAAGGGUUUUAGUUGUACACUGUAUACUUAUCAACUUAUUAGAGCAGUAAUCAAAGACUGAAGUAAGAAUGACCGCUUUUAUGAAUUAGAAAUGGAAACCAUUGCGAUGGAGAUGAUAAAAAAUGCUUACACUUUGGGCAAUAUAAUGAAUGCCUUCAUUUUUCUACGAAAUACAAAUAAUAAUCGAACAAUAAUUGAGCUAAGCGGCAAGUAACAGCGUAAACACUUAGAUUAAUAGUUGAAACAUGUACAUAACUAGGAUAAUUAUUCAUUAUUAUCGCAUAGAACUCUUGAUACAUGAAACUUUGAAACGAGAAGUCAUCCAAUUGCGUUUACUGCUCCAAUUACUGCAUAACCUAAGAUUUAAGCCUCUUGUGGCAUUAUUUAUUUAUCGCAUUGAUUAGUUAUUAUUAUUAUUAGAGGUAUGUUAGUAAUUUGUACAUAUAAAUGCGUACGAUUCAUAUCUUAUAUCUAUUUGCGUUCGGCAGGAAGAUAAUCAAUUCAUUUGAGUAUGUGUAAAUGGGAAAAAGUACAGAAACAGUACAGAAAUGUCUGCAGAUUAAAAA
Dalotia coriaria is the source of this 5519-nucleotide RNA transcript. It is a transcript of the gene named Myosin heavy chain-like, with no coding region annotated. The record is from RefSeq and is a predicted model, not a curated record. Lineage: Eukaryota; Metazoa; Arthropoda; Insecta; Coleoptera; Staphylinidae. The transcript is spliced from 11 exons.